AGUGGAGAAUGAUGUGGACACCUUGCAUGGAGAGAUAGAACAUUUAGUGAGUCACUUAUUAGUGGGAAUGAUGUGGACACCUUGCAUGAAGAGAGAAUUCGUCUAGUGGGGUUUAGCUUUAUAAGAGUAUAUGAUUUGCUCCCUACAGUAUACCCCUAAUUAGCUAGUUAAUAAAUGUAGUUAGCGUGUUGCUUAUUUGUUCUUCCUCUGUAUUUAUCUCCAUCGACAUAGGGCUAAUCUUCUCCUUUUUGCUAUUAUUACCAUAAUUCUUUUUCGUCCUAAGAAUUAUAUUCACCAAGUGGAGGUUAGAGACCUAGGAAUAAUUUUGUUCCUUUUUUCUAUGUAAUAUUUAGUGUUUUUUAGUUUUUAGUUUUUUGGUUUCACAAAAUAAACAUCUACUCCAUCCGUCCUGUAAUAUAGUUCAUUCUAACAUUUAAAAUUUAUCCUCAAAUAGUAUAUUCUAGAGGACAAAACUCAAUUUUAUAUUACUUUUCAUUUAUCAACCAAUCACCAUUUAAUCAAGUUGAUGAUAGCGCCUCAUUAGGAAAUAAAGCGAGGGUACAUGUGUCUUUUAUGUUGUUUCUUAUUUUGUCUUAUAGCUAGUUCAUAGAAUAUAUAUAUUAUACUAU
This 629-nucleotide long non-coding RNA is filed under the name Sorghum bicolor (sorghum). RNAcentral's name for it is "long non-coding RNA (SBIC_LNC011735)". Lineage: Eukaryota; Viridiplantae; Streptophyta; Magnoliopsida; Poales; Poaceae. The record is from RNAcentral.